CCUCACCUACGGGGGGCAGCAGUGGGGGAUAUUGCACAAUGGGAGAAACCCUGAUGCAGCGACGCCGCGUGGGUGAAGAAGCGCCUCGGCGCGUAAAGCCCUGUCAGCAGGGAAGAAAAUGACGGUACCUGAAGAAGAAGCCCCGGCUAACUGCGUGCCAGCAGCCGCGGUAAUACGUAGGGGGCAAGCGUUAUCCGGAUUUACUGGGUGUAAAGGGGGCGCAGACGGCGAUGCAAGCCAGGAGUGAAAGCCCGGGGCCCAACCCCGGGCCUGCUCUUGGAACUGCGUGGCUAGAGGGCAGGAGG
RNAcentral lists this ribosomal RNA (305 nucleotides) under uncultured bacterium. Its description in RNAcentral is "bacterial SSU rRNA". It matches the Rfam family "Bacterial small subunit ribosomal RNA", at positions 333 to 655 of the family's 1533-position model. The record is from RNAcentral.